UCAUUCAAAAUCAGAUGAAUGUCAGUAGGAUGUUUGUCAAACAAACUUGUCAUCAUUUGUCACAAUUUGAGGAAGUCUCAGUCAGUAGUCACACUUGAACGUGUAACAGAGUUAUUUAUAGCCGCCAGUCUCCAGUUUUAAGUAAAUGCAGGGCCGGGGUUCGGUGUUAUAAACAGCUUUAUUUAUAAUGAUUGUGCGGCUAUAAAUAGUUUGGUGUGCUGGGGGUAGCAGAGUGGCUGGGCUCAGGGCUGUCAGAGCCAGGAGGGAAGCCACAGGAGGAGGGAAGUGCCUCCUCCCGCGUCUUCCUCUUCUCGGCGGACCCUCUCUGCGAGUCCUUGGCCGGGAAGGUAUUUGAUCCUCUUCCUCCCUGUCCCUUGUGGAAGGAGAAGUUGUGCACAACGGUGUUCCCAGGAGAAGUACAGCUGAAGUCUAUUAGGUAGGACGGUACAAAUCAGGGAGAGAAGAACCUCGCAAGAAAUUGACUUCAUGCUGUCAUCUUAGCAACCUCUGAGACACGCGCUGAGCCCCUGUAAGCGGAAAGUAGUCACAGCCGGAGAUUUGGGGCAGAAGGACACAGGCAAGCAAUCCUUCUUGGAAAAGGGAUUACCUUUUUUUGUUGUUGUUGUUGCUGUAUCAUCAGCAACCUCUUCAUUGUCGUCAUCAUCAUUAUUGCAAUUUUUGUCCAAGAGCGCUGUGAGAUGCAUCCUAUUUGAACCCGUCCCCCUCGAGCUGUAGCAAGGACAGCCUGCCCAAGUAAGCUGCCAACUAACACUCAGAAGACGCAGGUCCGGACGCAGAGGAGCUAAGGUCAAGGGACUCUGAGGGGGGGCUUCUCAUCCUGACCUGGGUGCUAGGGAGGGCAUCCCGGAGGAGAGGGCCCCCGGGUUGAAUGCUGCAGGUGGUUCCUUAGGGCAGCGACUGUCUUUUUGUUUCUGUAUAGACACCUGUGACGCAGAAGGCACGUGGUAAAUAUUUGCAGAGAGAACAAACGAAGGUUUACUCUCUCUUUAAAUCUCCCCGAUGCCGAGUACUAGCUGAGAAGGAUGUGGUAUAAGUGCCUUAGUUCAGGCCCUUUGGCUACGCAUUCCUGGAACUCGAAGUGUUUGGAGCUUCAGGACGUCAUUAGCUCCUUCCAUUCUGUUCCCCUCCUUUGACCAAGUGACUGGUUGGAAGCCAUUUGC
This is a long non-coding RNA of Leopardus geoffroyi (Geoffroy's cat), 1181 nucleotides long. RefSeq lists it as uncharacterized. Lineage: Eukaryota; Metazoa; Chordata; Mammalia; Carnivora; Felidae. The transcript is spliced from 3 exons. The record is from RefSeq and is a predicted model, not a curated record.